AUACUGCUGUGCCUCCAGAUUAAAGGUUUUUUUUCCCCUUUGAUCCAGUCUUGUAGCCAGUUCAGCUUUCAGAGGGAGCCAGAAGAGAUUUGUAGAGUUUGGCAGUAGUGUCGUUCCUGAGGAAGACUGGAGAAAGAAAACUCAGAAUCACGGCUAUGAACAGCUCUUUAGAAAUGAAUGGCUAACUCGAGGAAGUCUUGCACACUUGCAGUGCCGUGACGUUCUGCCAUCCGGAGGGGAAUUAAUCGCUGAGUAGCAUGAAGACUGCACAGCACAGACAACAGGCAUGGUCCAGACCUCAAGGGACUAAUUAUGUUCUUAAAGGGCUGCCCAUCCUGCUUCCCAGCAAGACCUCAGCUGUGUGUGUACCAGGAAAGCAAAUAAGAAAGAUCUUCACAAAAAAGCUCUAAGAAUGUAAAACUGAUACCUGGAGAUACAGGUAAGUGGCAUACUUUUUUCCUCCCCCAUUUUGCAUCUUGCACUAUAUAUGCAUCAGAUUUAAAGGCAAGUAGUGUCUCUCUUUAUCAAACAGGCUUGAUGAAAGAACAAUCAUGUACAUUCAGUUAUAUCUCUGCUAAACGUAUCCAUUUUUAUUGCUUUCCAGUAGUUCAAAGCAUUAGCAUAAAACAAUCAAGGAGGUUGUUUUUCCUAAGAGAGAGAGUGCCUGUUUACAAACUCAUUUUAUUUUCACAAUACUCCAUUGUUAUUUAUUUCAGACAGAAAGCUGUCAGAUUAAUGCAUUCCCUCAUGCAGGACAGCUUGCUUUAUUGCCCGUUAUUAAGAUAUAACAUAUAUAACCUGACAAGCACUGCCCACGUCUGCAAUCCACCAGUGAAAGGCAAAUUAAGUAGAAAAUGGAGAUCUCCAAUAUUUCUUGGGGCUCAAGUGAUAUUAGUUUUUAACUCAUUUUGUAUUCAGAGGGGAUUCUGCCUGUUCACAAUAUAUCUGACAGAGUAAACUGCCCAAAGAAGGCUUUUUUGAUUCACAGAACAGCUACAUCUGAGAAACUGCUUUCAGAGCCACAGGAGUCAAUUCCCCGUGCGUAAAUGUGUGCCAACAAAGAAGGAGAAAAAAAAAACAACAACCCGACAAAUUAGUUGGGUGGUGCAAGAAACCAGUUAGAAAGUAACUCCUGGAGGCGGAGUGGUGCAAGGACUGAAUUCCUGAACUUGCUGAGUGACAGAAACUGCUCUGGAGAAGUCAACAAGAGCAAAUGAAAAUGCAUCAUCACAAGACUGAAUUAAGAGUGAAGGAAAACACUGUUGGUAAAAUGCUGGAUAGACUGAAGAUAUUCAAGGUUGAUGGACCAGAGCCUCUUGCAUCCAUACCUGUGACAGAUGAAAAAGGAGCUGCGUUCAGUCAAAAGCCUCAAGGAAGAGCAAUAUCAGCUUCUCUUCUGGUCUUAGAUCCAGUGCACACACCUGGCAGAGUUCUACAAACUUGACAAGCAGGGAUAAAAGAUGACGCCCCUAAAUGCUUUACUUGGGUAAAAUUAACCAGAAGGAUCAAAAUUGGAGCUUAUUGGUAUGUUUUUAGUAGAGAAUCCUGAGAAUGUUGUGGGAGACAAAGCAUGCAGUUUGGAACUGUACGCUGGAUUCCUUUUGUUUGGCUACCUCCUGUGAAACCAGGUAAGUUUUCAACAUUCAUUUCUUGACAGCACAUCCCAGAAAAAUGCAUAGUCACAUCUUCAGAUAAACUUUUAUACAGGUAAGUGUCACAUGAGGGCUCCAGCUGUACACUGAUUAAGAACAUUCUCAGCAAUUCUCAUAAGCAUAAAUGAUGUAUUUAAAUACUUGUAUGUUUGUGCACUGAUCAGCUCUGGAAUUGAUGUAGCAAUGUAACUUUUAAGAGAGGGAGCAAGUCCCACAGAAGAAAGAAGAAAAAGGUUUAAGAAUAUCAAUUUCAUGCCUGCUACUAAAAAAAUCUACUUAGCCAGCAAUGGAAAGCAUCAGUGUACCAUUAAUGGUGAAAGGACUAUGGUUUGUGAGACACAGUUUGAAUAUGAUUUUAAUGUACAAAAAUGAGACAGUUAAGAAAUGUGCAAGGCAGGAAGUUUAGAGGAUGCAAACAGAUGAGGUAAGGAAUGGAGUAUUGCUUCCAGAUUCUCCCAUAGUUGAUUUUUUUUAAUUUUUU
Meleagris gallopavo (turkey) is the source of this 2133-nucleotide long non-coding RNA. RefSeq lists it as uncharacterized. The record is from RefSeq and is a predicted model, not a curated record. Lineage: Eukaryota; Metazoa; Chordata; Aves; Galliformes; Phasianidae.